UUCUGUCUGUUAAAUGGAAUUCUAGAGAUGAAGUAGCCCAGAUGUAUUGCUUGGUAAAAGAUUGGCCUCCAAUCAAACCUGAACAGGCUAUGGAACUUCUGGACUGUAAUUACCCAGAUCCUAUGGUUCGAGGUUUUGCUGUUCGGUGCUUGGAAAAAUAUUUAACAGAUGACAAACUUUCUCAGUAUUUAAUUCAGCUAGUACAGGUCCUAAAAUAUGAACAAUAUUUGGAUAACUUGCUUGUGAGAUUUUUACUGAAGAAAGCAUUGACUAAUCAAAGGAUUGGGCACUUUUUCUUUUGGCAUUUAAAGUAAGUCUAAUUAUUUUCCCAUUAAAUUCUU
Molecule: long non-coding RNA, 341 nt
Organism: Pan troglodytes (chimpanzee)
Lineage: Eukaryota; Metazoa; Chordata; Mammalia; Primates; Hominidae
Exons: 3
Source: RefSeq, a predicted model, not a curated record